AUCUGGAGAGGAUGCUUCUGGCGCGGCGCCUUCCGAGUUCCCUGGAACGGGACGCCGGAGAGGGUGAGAGCCCCGUACGGUCGGACGCCUAGCCUGUGUGAAGCUCCUUCGACGAGUCGAGUAGUUUGGGAAUGCUGCUCAAAAUGGGAGGUAAAUUUCUUCUAAAGCUAAAUACCGGCCAGAGACCGAUAGCGCACAAGUAGAGUGAUCGAAAGAUGAAAAGCACUUUGAAAAGAGGGUCAAACAGUACGUGAAAUUGUUGAAAGGGAAGCGCCCGUGGCCAGACUUGUGCCCGGCGGACCACCCGGCGCCCCAGCGCCGGUGCACUCCGUCGGGCGCAGGCCAGCAUCGGUUUUCCCAGGGGGAUAAAGGCGGCGGGAACGUGGCUCCUCCGGGAGCGUUAUAGCCCGCCGUGCCAUGCCUCUGGGGGGACCGAGGACCGCGCAUCUGCAAGGAUGCUGGCGUAAUGGCCACCGGCGACCCGUCUUGAAACACGGACCAAGGAGUCAAGCAUUGGGGCGAGUGUCUGGGUGUCAAACCCGCACGCGAAAUGAAAGUGAACGCAGGUGAGAGCUUCGGCGCAUCAUCGACCGAUCCUGAUGUUCUCGGAUGGAUUUGAGUAAGAGCCUUACCGCUUGGACCCGAAAGAUGGUGAACUAUGCCUGUAUAGGGUGAAGCCAGAGGAAACUCUGGUGGAGG
RNAcentral lists this ribosomal RNA (699 nucleotides) under Grosmannia leptographioides. RNAcentral describes it as "eukaryotic LSU rRNA". It matches the Rfam family "Eukaryotic large subunit ribosomal RNA", at positions 148 to 873 of the family's 3401-position model. The record is from RNAcentral. Lineage: Eukaryota; Fungi; Ascomycota; Sordariomycetes; Ophiostomatales; Ophiostomataceae.